Long non-coding RNA from Fundulus heteroclitus (mummichog), 1115 nucleotides. RefSeq lists it as uncharacterized. NCBI's taxonomy places the organism in Eukaryota, Metazoa, Chordata, Actinopteri, Cyprinodontiformes, Fundulidae. The transcript is spliced from 3 exons. The record is from RefSeq and is a predicted model, not a curated record.
UUACUGUAGUCUACUACAAUGUAAUUAAAGCAACAUCAAAGAACUUUCCCUCUGUCGCACGCACGCUAUUUGUUUACCCAGCACCGGCUUAGCAAAUAACGAUGUCCACAGACAAGGUAGAAUAUGUUGCACGAUUUAUGAAAGUGCGAUGUAUUGCGACAUCAGAUGCGAGGCAAAUUUGUAGUUUCUUAUGUCUCAUUUCAUCGAACUACAGAUCCGCUAGCCCUGGAAGCAAAUGUAAUUUGCUGCCGCUAGGGUGCGUCUAGAUUUCUAGGCUACAGAUACGCUACCCGAUCUGGCAAACUUACGUAGUGCGGUUAUAGCCGAUAGAGGGCCGCAAAGCAAAUUCAGAAGUGCCGAUCACCCUGUUACAAGUUGAUGAACCACUGAAACUAUUUUGGAACCAUUAUUUUAAGGUACAAAAAAGUCUUUAGUGUUGCUUUAAUGCUAAAAUAUAUUAUUCAGGUGCACACAGAUUAAAACUUUUGCUGAACUCUUGAUAGACUUGCCUUUGGCUUUGAGGGAACCCUUCCCUUAGUUGAUUUAAACCAGUUGUAUGAGUACUAAUGUGUGCAGGCUGCAAAUCAAAACUAAAAGUAGUUUUCGUUGUAACCACCAGAUUAAUACCAGCAGCAAAGAGCAGAUAAAAGAUCAGAUUUUGUAUCGAGACAUACUUGUCAUUAAAGUUACUGUUUACAUUUCUCUAAAUGUAAAUAUGCAAUUGUAUUUUUGUAGAGGAAUGUGUGACCCUUUCAGAGGAUCUGAACUACCUGGCAGCAAAGUUCCUCCCCAUCACCAAAAUCAGCCAGACCUGUCUGGAGGAGGGUGAUGGAUUACAUGAGGCCAUUGCAAAAACUGAAAACUGCAGGAAGACACUGGGACACCUCCUGACCACCAUGGAGGCCAAUUGGCAAGAUUAUGGCCUGGCCACUCAUGGCCUUGGUCCCCAAAUGUUGAAGGGCACCUUUGCCCUGAUCGACACCUGUCUGGCCAAAAAAAUUGAAAAUUUGAAGACCCAGAAAUAAAAGACAAACAAGCCAGUCUCCAACCGGCCCAAUAACUGUACAUCAAGUGUUCAACAUGUUCAAUAAAAUCAGUUUUUUGAGUGGAGUCUG